UACGGGGGGGGCAAGCGUUGUUCGGAAUUACUGGGCGUAAAGGGCUCGUAGGUGGCCAACUAAGUCAGACGUGAAAUCCCUCGGCUUAACCGGGGAACUGCAUCUGAUACUGGAUGGCUUGAGAUUGGGAGAGGGAUGCGGAAUUCCAGGUGUAGCGGUGAAAUGCGUAGAUAUCUGGAGGAAUACCGGUGGCGAAGGCGGCAUCCUGGACCGACAUUGACGCUGAUGAGCGAAAGCUAGGGGAGCAAACGGG
This 253-nucleotide ribosomal RNA is filed under the name uncultured bacterium. RNAcentral describes it as "partial 16S ribosomal RNA". It matches the Rfam family "Bacterial small subunit ribosomal RNA", at positions 524 to 776 of the family's 1533-position model. The record is from RNAcentral.